AAUUUAUGGUACGAGCAUUUUUUAAUCAACAUUUUAAAGCAUUCCCACACCUCAUAAAAGCUGUCUCCUUUCAUCUGUCUAAAGACAACAAUCUCUCUUCUUAAUU
Molecule: non-coding RNA, 106 nt
Organism: Gossypium raimondii (Peruvian cotton)
Lineage: Eukaryota; Viridiplantae; Streptophyta; Magnoliopsida; Malvales; Malvaceae
Source: Rfam